UGGAUGUCCAUACCAGAUUAGGAAUUCUAAGUGUUGUGUUCAUGUGGUAUUGGAAUUUAUGUCUGCUGAGAGUGUUGCUGAGUAUAUUCAAUUGACUGAUGAGAUUCAUCUGCUUCCAGAAGACCACAAAGCAAAAGCUGACAAUCUGGAGGUGAAGAAAAUGGCUCUUCAUAGCAUAAAGACAGCAAUAAAAGAAAUACGUGAGCUCACUUCCAAUCCAAAACAUUGAUUGAUUGCACAAGCUAAAAUAUAUUCUUAGAUACCUUUGGAGCCUGUGUUCGAUUUUUUUAUAGAUUUUUAUAGAUUUAGCAAGGUACUUCAAUAUAUUUAUAUAUUUUUUACUGUUGGUAGAUACUUCAGUUGAUUACUUUAAGUUUCUAUUCUUUUUUAUUGGAUUGCGGUGACAUUUUUUGCCUUACCUGAAUCUGAAAUAAAUAGUUUCAUGGUCCUA
This is a long non-coding RNA of Cicer arietinum (chickpea), 451 nucleotides long. RefSeq lists it as uncharacterized. NCBI's taxonomy places the organism in Eukaryota, Viridiplantae, Streptophyta, Magnoliopsida, Fabales, Fabaceae. The record is from RefSeq and is a predicted model, not a curated record.